Triticum dicoccoides is the source of this 292-nucleotide long non-coding RNA. RefSeq lists it as uncharacterized. The record is from RefSeq and is a predicted model, not a curated record. Lineage: Eukaryota; Viridiplantae; Streptophyta; Magnoliopsida; Poales; Poaceae. The transcript has 4 exons.
UUAGAGAUGAUCAUAUAUAUAGCUUUGAUUUGAUGCACAGGUGGGUGUCAGCCUGAUGGCCUUUCAGCAACUGGGAGGAAUAAACGUGUUAGGCCUCUAUACAAGCUAUAUCUUUUCAUCAGCAGAUACCAAUCACAUUAUUCGGGGCCCUUCUCGUGGAUAGGUGUGGAAGGAGAACCCUUCUACUGGUGUCUUCAUCUGGCACAUUUGUGGGCUGCUUUCUUACUGGGCUAUCAUUCUACUUUAAGGCAUACUAUGGGGCAUACUCAAUUUGAAUGGGACCUGUUCCUUG